Molecule: long non-coding RNA, 1617 nt
Organism: Myotis lucifugus (little brown bat)
Lineage: Eukaryota; Metazoa; Chordata; Mammalia; Chiroptera; Vespertilionidae
Exons: 3
Source: RefSeq, a predicted model, not a curated record
GAUGGGAACAGGUUCUGACUUCCUGUGACUGGAUGGAGACAGAUUCUCACUUCCUGUGACAGGAUGGGGACAGAUUCUCACUUCCUGUGACAGGAUGGGGACAGAUUCUCACUUCCUGUGACUGGAUGGAGACAGAUUAAAGCUUCCUGUGACAGGAUGGGGACAGGUUCUCACUUCCUGUGACAGGAUGUACAGGUUAAAGCUUCCUGUGACAGGAUGGGGACAGGUUAAAGCUUCCUGUGACAGGAUGGGAACAGGUUAAAGUUUCCUGUGACAGGAUGGGGACAGGUUAAAGCUUCCUGUGACAGGAUGGGGACAGGUUAAAGCUACCUGUGACAGGAUGGGGACAGGUUCUCACUUCCUGUGACAGGAUGGGGACAGGUUCUCACUUCCUGUGACAGGAUGUACAGGUUAAAGCUUCCUGUGACAGGAUGGGGACAGGUUAAAGCUUCCUGUGACAGGAUGGGGACAGGUUAAAGCUUCCUGUGACAGGAUGGGGACAGGUUCUCACUUCCUGUGACAGGAUGGGGACAGGUUAAAGCUUCCUGUGACAGGAUAGGGACAGGUUCUGACUUCCUGUGACAGGAUGGGGACAGAUUCUCAUUUCCUGUGACUGGAUGGAGAUAGGUUAAAGCUUCCUGUGACAGGAUGGGGACAGGUUAAAGCUUCCUGUGACAGGAUGGGGACAGGUUAAAGCUUCCUGUGACAGGAUGGGGACAGGUUAAAGCUUCCUGUGACAGGAUGGGGACAGGUUCUCACUUCCUGUGACAGGAUGGACAGGUUAAAGCUUCCUGUGACAGGAUGGGGACAGGUUAAAGCUUCCUGUGACAGGAUGGGAACAGGUUAAAUCUUCCUGUGACGAUAGGGGCAGGUUCUCACUUCCUGUGACAGGAUGGGGACAGGUUCUCACUUCCUGUGACAGGAUGGGGACAGGGGCUACCUGCAUUCAGGCCCAUCAUACUGUGGAGACAGCUGCCUUAGGAACCAGAGUGGAGGUGGAGCCCCUAGGCCUUGGCGACCUGCCCAGGAAGUCCUGCCACGUGGACUGUUUAAAUUCUCCAGUUGGAGCAUCUACCACCCUCGUCUUCCAUCACGUCCCCCACCAGCUUGGUGAGUUUUCAUCUUCGUUCUGGGUUACUUGGGCUUAUUUCACACUCACGUGGAGAGUGAGCGUGGUCUCCUUUACCGCCUACCUCAGCCUCUCUAGCAGGACUGAUGGCACCCUCUCACCUGACCAGCCAGAGUUUUAGAAAGGCCGGCCCUGGGGUGGGCCAUGGCGCUACAGGUAUGUGAGGAACGGGCACACUGAAGAGCGAGCCAUGCCUGGGAGGGAACCCGGAGCAGAGGGAGAAGUAGGAGAAGAGGUGGCCUGGGCCCGAGACAGCCCAGCCGCAGAGACAGCCAAGCCCAGGCCGAUGGGAGCGCUCCAGGUGACCUGACCUGGGCGGUGUGGCUUCACGCUGCCCAUCCCACCAGCUCACUUCCCUUCACAUCCUUCUCCUCACUCCACUGACGGGAGACAAGCUCCGCGAGUGCAUGACUCCAGGCCGCAGUCAGUGGCUGAGCCAAGUCAGCCUGUCCCACUUCAAAGACUUUACAUCCUCUCUCUCUCUUUCU